AACUCUUGAAGCUGCCACGCAGACGGUUUUAAAAGACGCAUUCCAACAGCAGGAGAUCAGACUGUAACUUUCUUCUUUCAGAGUCCAACAUGUCUUCAGUAUCUGAUGACCGGUAUUCCCUUGAACUGAUAACACUCAUGAAAGUGAAGAGGGGAGAUCAUCUUGCUGUUGAAAGUAGUGAUGGCAGAUAUUACCACCAUGGUAUAUUCAUCGGAGAUGGAGACGUCAUUGAUUAUGGGGCAGAAAACAAGAAGCUCAUCUCAGGACAAGGAAUGAUUCGUAAAAUGCCACUGAUUAAAUUUGUUGGAGGUGAGAUGGUGUACAGAGUAAAAUACAACAAGGCUCUUAAAAACAAUCCAGAGGAUGUGGUGAAAACAGCUGUCCAGCUGUAUGAAGACCAAACAUGUUGGAGUGUGUACGAUCUGCUGAACAAGAAUUGUGAACAUUUUGCCACUUUCUGUAAGACAGGGAGAGCUUUCUCUCUUCAAGUAGUGAAGAAGAUCAAGGCUUUGUUUGCAGCUGCAGCUGCUUCGUCUGCAGCUUCGAGUUGCUUGUCAGGAAUAUAGUUUCAGCAUGUUAUUGUUCAUAAAUUGUGUCUUUGAUUUUGCAGAAAUGAUGGAAUGAAAUAUUUGGAUAAAAAAGUGUGAAGAAUAUGUGAAUAUUCUGAAAAUGUGGCAUGAUUUAUGCUCAUUCAAAAUGUAUUGGUAGAGUGAUCAAAGAACAUAAUGAAAUGACUAAAAUAAUGACAUGUAUGUGCAGCUUUUUCUGAACCAUAAAUACACACCAAAUGUAUUAUUACUGUUGUGUACUAUCGUUAUUACAGUUCAUUACUGAAGCUAUACUUACUUCCUAAGUGUAGCACCUGGUGCCUUUUCAGAAACAAAAUAAGUCUGAAUGCCAUUAAAUGUCAGUCAU
This is a long non-coding RNA of Thalassophryne amazonica, 915 nucleotides long. RefSeq lists it as uncharacterized. NCBI's taxonomy places the organism in Eukaryota, Metazoa, Chordata, Actinopteri, Batrachoidiformes, Batrachoididae. The transcript is spliced from 3 exons. The record is from RefSeq and is a predicted model, not a curated record.